Molecule: non-coding RNA, 207 nt
Filed under: Actinoplanes sp.
Lineage: Bacteria; Bacillati; Actinomycetota; Actinomycetes; Micromonosporales; Micromonosporaceae
Source: RNAcentral
AGGAACCCGGUGCGAGUCCGGGACGGUCCCGCCACUGUGACCGGGGAGCGACCCGCUGACGCGACAGCACGCCACGGCCCUGCGGCCGGUGCGGCCGGCGCGCAGGGCCGCGGCACACCACGGCUUCCGGGCCGAGGUGGCGGCGGCACACCACGGCCCGCGGGCUGGAAGGUGGGCGGGAAACGGCGAUCCGGGAGUCAGGAGACU